UACGGGGGAUGCAAGCGUUAUCCGGAAUCAUUGGGCGUAAAGCGCCUGUAGGUCGCUUGAUAAGUCUGUUGUUAAAGCUUAGGGCUCAACCCUAAAAAAGCAAUGGAAACUGACAAGCUUGAGUAUGGUAGGGGUAGAGGGAAUUUCUAGUGUAGCGGUGAAAUGCGUAGAUAUUAGAAAGAACACCGGUGGCGAAGGCGCUCUACUGGACCAUUACUGACACUCAGAGGCGAAAGCUAGGGGAGCAAAAGGGAUUAGAUACCCCUGUAGUCCUAGCCGUAAACGAUGGAUACUAGAUGUUGUGCAUAAUGUACAGUAUCGUAGCUAACGCGUUAAGUAUCCCGCCUGGGGAGUACGCUCGCAAGGGUG
This 369-nucleotide ribosomal RNA is filed under the name uncultured phototrophic eukaryote. RNAcentral describes it as "SSU rRNA". It matches the Rfam family "Bacterial small subunit ribosomal RNA", at positions 524 to 896 of the family's 1533-position model. The record is from RNAcentral.